Molecule: ribosomal RNA, 254 nt
Filed under: uncultured bacterium
Lineage: Bacteria
Description: partial 16S ribosomal RNA
Rfam family: Bacterial small subunit ribosomal RNA
Source: RNAcentral
UACGUAGGGGGCGAGCGUUGCCCGGAUUCAUUGGGCGUAAAGCGCUUUAAGGCGGUUCGCUAAGUCGCGUGUGAAACCUCCAGGCUCAACCUGGAGACGCCACGCGAUACUGGCGUGACUAGAGUUCGGUAGGGGAUCACGGAAUUCCUGGUGUAGCGGUGAAAUGCGCAGAUAUCAGGAGGAACACCGGUGGCGAAGGCGGUGAUCUGGGCCGACACUGACGCUGUAGAGCGAAAGCGUGGGGAGCGAACAGG